AUUGAACGCUGGCGGCAGACCUAACACAUGCAAGUCGAACGGCAGCACAGAAGAGCUUGCUCUUUGGGUGGCGAGUGGCGGACGGGUGAGUAAUGUCUGGGAAACUGCCCGAUGGAGGGGGAUAACUACUGGAAACGGUAGCUAAUACCGCAUAACGUCGCGAGAUCAGAGUGGGGGACCUUCGGGCCUCACACCAUCGGAUGUGCCCAGAUGGGAUUAGCUAGUAGGUGGGGUAAUGGCUCACCUAGGCGACGAUCCCUAGCCGGUCUGAGAGGAUGACCAGCCACCCUGGAACUGAGACACGGUCCAGACUCCUACGGGAGACAGCAGUGGGGAAUAUUGCACAAUGGGCGCAAGCCUGAUGCAGCCAUGCCGCGUGUAUGAAGAAGGCCUUCGGGUUGUAAUGUACUUUCAGCGGGGAGAAAGGCGGUGAGGUUAAUAACCUCGCCGAUUGACGUUACCCGCAGAAGAAGCACCGGCUAACUCCGUGCCAGCCGCCGCAGUAA
This 506-nucleotide ribosomal RNA is filed under the name uncultured bacterium. RNAcentral's name for it is "partial 16S ribosomal RNA". It matches the Rfam family "Bacterial small subunit ribosomal RNA", at positions 30 to 523 of the family's 1533-position model. The record is from RNAcentral.